CAAAGCCCGUCAUUCUUCUCAUAGCGUAUAUUAAAGUUGUUGCAGUUAAAAAGCUCGUAGUUGAAUUUCGGGACCAUCAUGUUGGUCGUGCCAAGGGACGUACUGGGAUUGUUGGUUCCUCCCUUCUGACGAACCAUGAUGUCAUUUAUUUGGUGUUGUGGGGAAUCAGGACUGUUACUUUGAAAAAAUUAGAGUGUUUAAAGCAGGCACC
This 211-nucleotide ribosomal RNA is filed under the name uncultured Glomus. RNAcentral describes it as "partial 18S ribosomal RNA". It matches the Rfam family "Eukaryotic small subunit ribosomal RNA", at positions 568 to 788 of the family's 1831-position model. The record is from RNAcentral. Lineage: Eukaryota; Fungi; Glomeromycota; Glomeromycetes; Glomerales; Glomeraceae.